GAUGAACGCUGGCGGCGUGCCUAAUACAUGCAAGUCGAGCGAACAGACGAGGAGCUUGCUCCUCUGACGUUAGCGGCGGACGGGUGAGUAACACGUGGAUAACCUACCUAUAAGACUGGGAUAUCUUCGGGAAACCGGAGCUAAUACCGGAUAAUAUAUUGAACCGCAUGGUUCAAUAGUGAAAGACGGUUUUGCUGUCACUUAUAGAUGGAUCCGCGCCGCAUUAGCUAGUUGGUAAGGUAACGGCUUACCAAGGCAACGAUGCGUAGCCGACCUGAGAGGGUGAUCGGCCACACUGGAACUGAGACACGGUCCAGACUCCUACGGGAGGCAGCAGUAAGGAAUCUUCCGCAAUGGGCGAAAGCCUGACGGAGCAACGCCGCGUGAGUGAUGAAGGUCUUCGGAUCGUAAAACUCUGUUAUUAGGGAAGAACAAAUGUGUAAGUAACUAUGCACGUCUUGACGGUACCUAAUCAGAAAGCCACGGCUAACUACGUG
This 497-nucleotide ribosomal RNA is filed under the name uncultured bacterium. RNAcentral describes it as "partial 16S ribosomal RNA". It matches the Rfam family "Bacterial small subunit ribosomal RNA", at positions 28 to 507 of the family's 1533-position model. The record is from RNAcentral.